RNAcentral lists this transfer RNA (128 nucleotides) under Bacteroidota bacterium. Its description in RNAcentral is "Bacteroidetes bacterium (soil metagenome) tRNA-Arg". Lineage: Bacteria; Pseudomonadati; Bacteroidota. The record is from RNAcentral.
GGCACCGUAGUUCAAUGCCCGCCCGAACGACCAGGUCGGUUGCACCAUUCCGGCAAGCUUGCAGUCGGGCGGGGAUAGAAUAGAAGUUUCCUAAACUUUAGAUCUCAGUUCGAUUCUGAACGGAGCCA